AGAAACAAAAACAGAAACGAAGAUAUCCAUGAUACCUAAUGUUACAAGGAGAAGAAAGCACUUGUAAUCACAAGGGUACUGAGAAAAGAAGUUAAAUGAAAAAUGGAUUGUGGAUUAUAGCCUGAGCAGAUUUGAGCCUAAAUGUAAUAUAACAGCUUGUGGCAAAUGGAGGUAGCAGGAGAGUAGAGCCAACUAGCCAAAAAUCCCCUGGAAAGGUGAAACUGAAAUCACUCAUUCAUUCAAAAAGUGUUUACUGAGUAGCUUCAAAGAGCAAAUAUUAGGUUAGAUGCAGUGGGUGAUGUAAGGAUGAUUCAGACAACUAUUUCUCAUGGACUUUGCUUACUGAGCCAUCAACACACGGCCACCUUUUUCUAGAUGAAGUAUCCCAUCAUUUGAUUCUGGAUUGAGAACUCUUUGAGAGCAGAGACGAUGGCUUCACCUGAGUAUCCCCAGAGCCUGACGUUAGACAACUAUGGUUUUCCUGAACUUAAUCCUCUGGAUCUUCAGAGCAGAGAAAGUGCACCAUUCAAAAGUGGACAGCAACAGCAGUGCAGCCCCUUUCUGGACAUCCUUGAAAGACGGCAGUGAAGGAAAUUUCUCCCAGUGGGCAGAACUUCAAACACAGCACCUGGAGACACACUGGCAAAGGAAAUAACCAGAGGCAAGUUCAGCUGUAUUGUGGAAAAAAGGAUUUAAGCAAAGAUUGAACCUGGUGAAAUGCGGAUAGCUGGUCCACUUGAGGACAUUCCAUUUCUUCGCUUCUCCAAUGGAGCAGGUUUCUGCACGCAGCUCACAUGCUUAUAUGUAUGGUGGCAUUGCCUACUCUCUACCCAGUUGUCCCAUCAACUCCCUACACUCUACACCACUGAAAUCUGUGCAAACAAGAUCAAGCUACUGAUCAUCUUCUGAACAAUGAAUUCUUUUCUGACAGGGAAGGAUUGUUCUGCAACUCAUGCGGAGCACCAAGGGUGCUGGAGACUCAGGUCCAUAGAACCCAGCUUUACCAUACGGAUGUGCAUCAUAACACUGUAUCAUGAUAAUGCAAGACUAAACACCUGACUUGAUGCCCAGGGCAAUGAUGCUGUGUUUAUCAAACAAUAAAACUAUUAUCUUAAAAAUCUGUUUAACUUGAAACCAUCCUAGAUGAUUCAAUACCUCAAGGCUUUCAAGAGAACAAACAUUGUGAACAACGGCUUGACUUUCUUACGAAGAGAAUUAAUUAAAUUGUAAACCAAUUUUUACGCACCCUGAUGAUUUUUUAUGUUGUUUCCUGAGCCGAGUAUCCUUGAGAAAUUCAACAGUGAUAAGUAAAAUUGCAUUGUAACUGCUCAGGAUUUGUUCAACAUUCAGUGUUUAUUGACCAGAAGCAGUUAAAGUGUUUGGGUAAGGAAUAUAGACUCAGAGCAGACUGCCCCAGCUCCAACCCAGCUUCUCCACUUAAUAGCUAUGAAGUUGAGCAAUUUAGUGAACCUCUCAGUGCUUCAGUUUUCUCUAUAAAAUGGGGAUAAUUUGAAUCUAUCUGCAGAUGCCACGUGGGUUAAAUAAGAGCAUAUGGGCUUAUAACAAUGCCUGAAACAUAGCAAGUGCUCUAUAGAUGGUAUCCAUUAAUGUAAGGCCUCCAUAGAACAGACAUUUGACUCAAUAUAGCAAUAUAUUAAAUAUAUUCAUAUAAAUUAAACAUGGUGACUAACUUCAACUAAUUUCCAUCACAGUGGGGACAACAAAACAUGUAUUUAAAACCCACACAUUAUUUAAGGACCAGAUUAAAUGCAUCAAAAUCUUCAUUAAUUCCAUGUUGUUCAAUGUAAUCUUUCCCACAGCAACUUAAAUGUACUUCUCUUUAACAUGUUCUACCAAGUUUUAUAAUUAAUUAUGUACAUGUCUAUUCUUUCCUACCAGAUUCUGAUAUGCUUGAGACAGAUUCACUUCAUCCUCUUUCUGCAUGCCUGGUUGAAUGACUGGCACAUAGUAAAUGCUCAAUAAAUGUUUGAUAAAUGAAUGAAUAACAAUAUAUAAGGCAUUAUAUGGUGACGAAAGCAUCACACAAAAGCAUCACAACUGAAGCACAAUUAAGUACCAUAAACAUUAGCCUUCAUCUACUGCCAUGACAGCUGAAGAGAUCCAGAGAGAUCCACUCCUGAUGUGCAUUCGUAGGGCGAGUUUUACAAAAAACAUGGCACAGGAGGAGGUUCUUAAAUGUUUAAACACAGCACUCAGUCUUAUAGAGGCUCUGCUUCUUUAAUCGGCCCUUUCUAAUCUUCUCUCCUCAUUGUGAAAUUCGGGAAAUAUGUUUCUUUACAUGCCUCCUCAAAUUUACAGAACUGGCCCAAGCAUUGAUUUUCUAGACAUAAUUCACUCCCAUUGCAGAUGUCCUAGGAAAUGGAGAGCUCUAUGACAGAAGUACACAUCAUGUGUCCAAAGUAACUUCAUAAUGGUUUCUGGGUUGUUAAAACAGGAAGAAACCAUUGCCUUUUAGAGGAAAGCUACAGUAAAUGUCACCAUAUGAAUAAACAUUGCAGUGACAUGCUUAAGCCUGGUUUUACUUGUUAUGAUUAUGUUGUCUGACUCUUACCACCAGAAGUGUUUCCCUCAUAUUUUCCUUCACAUUAACAUUUACGAUGGAGGGGCAGCAUUCCCCUUUGCUCACAUUGGCCAAAAUUAGUCCCUUUACACCCAGCAAUAUUUCAACAGUCACAGACCAGUGAGAGACCAGCAUAAACCCAGCUUGCUAUGGGCCUCAGCAUGUUCCACCAGCUUUACUCCAGCCAACAAAACUGCCAUUUGGAAUCCAUCUGCUGCAUUUCACGGACCUAAAUUCUGACCUAGUAGGUAGUCACUGAACUCGAACUGAGCAGAAAGGGCCAGAGGUUCUAAAGGGAAACAUUCUUCAGCGCCACUACAUGUGCCCUAAGACAUGAAACACCUAAGACAGCACCUUGAGGCAUAUUUUUCAGUGCAGAAGUAGCAGAAAACAGAACAUGACUCCCCACCCCUUCUUUAUAUUCCAAUGAGAUUUGCUAGUUUAACCAGAGCUGCAGUACAAAAGCACUUGUGGUUCAUGUUAUAUUAAUAGUGUGGCCUGAUUAUCAAAAACCAUUACUCUUGGUUAUCUUGCAGCGGCUGUACAGAGCUGCUAUAAGUCAGAGUGACUGCCCACACA
Homo sapiens (human) is the source of this 3160-nucleotide long non-coding RNA. Ensembl annotates it as PKN2 antisense RNA 1. Its record names the gene PKN2-AS1. The record is from Ensembl. NCBI's taxonomy places the organism in Eukaryota, Metazoa, Chordata, Mammalia, Primates, Hominidae.